Molecule: long non-coding RNA, 1882 nt
Filed under: Canis lupus familiaris (dog)
Lineage: Eukaryota; Metazoa; Chordata; Mammalia; Carnivora; Canidae
Description: lncRNA (ENSCAFG00845010957.1)
Source: RNAcentral
GUACUAAUGAACAAGGGCUUAGGAGUCAGGAGGCGGGGUUCAAAUCCUUGCUCAGCUACUAUGUGACCUUGGCCAACUUCCUUCCAUGGCUCUCCAUUUCCUCAUCUAUCAAACAAAGAUUGUACAAACAAGUCCAACAAACCCACCAUUAUGCCCAUCCUGGCCCAUGAAAGCAAGCCCUCUGCUCUAGCCAAAAUUGGAAUCAUCAGCCUGAGACCCUGCUCCCCCUCCUAUGGCCCUAUCCUAUCCUGAUCAGACUGCACUAGAAUUCUCCCUGGUUCUGAGCUCUGCACUUCUUACCCUGUCCCGGAUGACUGCUCUUCCACCCCCUGAUUUCUCCGUCCUCCUGAUUUUCCUGAGGAGAUGGACCAGCUCUUUGGAGCUGGGGUAUGGGAUCCUCUCUGGCAGCGUGCUGCAGGACAAAGGUGGCUUCAACAGAAGUGCAGUUUAUGGAGCACCUCCCCCCGCCCAGGAACCACAUCACCUCCUGGAGGGUUUGGACUGUGGACCAGCACAGGCUCAGGUCAAAGAAUGACCUAGAGACACAAGGAGGCCAUGUGGAUGCAAUGUCUGCCGAAGACUCCCUCCUGUCGUGCCAGCUUGUGUUCCAGAAAGAAAGCGGGAGCCCAAGCCAGCAUUUACCCAUGUGGGUCAACUUCCAAUAAGCACAUCAAAGCACCUGAAAAUAUACCCCAGACAGAUCUUUGGGACUGACACAGGAGAACCACCCCAGAAUGUUAUUGAAAACAUUGCCAAUAAAAGUGAUGAACCACUUCUGCAAGUGACCCAAGACUAAAACUUUUUUUUUUCUUCUUUGCCUAGAACGGCAUCCCCUUCAUCUGUCUUAUAUUGUAAUCAGAUACAACCUUGAUAGAAUGAAAGCAGAGGUCACACUGAACAAACUGGCACUUUACGUGCUCAGAAAAAGGUUCCUUUGUAACAGGGAAAUUAUAGCAUUUCUAUAGAGGGAUUUUUCUUAAAAGGACAGGCUGCUUUGUUCAAAUGGUGCUGAUUUCAGCGCUCUGAGGAGAGGGCCCUUUCAGAGUGUCGACCUGCUGAAAUUUGUGGGGUUCCUUUUGUUUGUAGAAAGCUGAAUAUGUUAUGGGAGGGGGAAUGUAUUAAAAUAGAAAUUGUAAGCCGUUUGACUAGGCGAGGUUUUGAUUGUCCAGAAACAUCAGACCAUUUUAUAUUUUGCUUAUACAGCGUCAGAUAUCAUAGGAGCACCGUGUGAAACACGGUUUAACAGAUCUCUGUGGGUCCUGAGUUAUACUUUCUGUCCAUAGCAUGUUGAUUCCCUUGGGAGGAGAGCUGACAUUUUUUAGCAAUGGGAAUCCAGAUCACAGCAUUAGACGUACGUUUAAAAGGACAAACGACAACAAAGCAAAACUCUUGAGUUUGGAUGAUGUUCGGGAAGAAAGGAAAUCUAACUUGGACCUGUGGUACUCUGCGAUCUGCUGGAGCCAGGCCAAACUCCAGGAAAUCACAUUGCAUAGCAGAGUGUGAACACAGGAAAUGCGUUUGAGCUAAAAAACAAGGUUUUGUGUCAAUCGAAAUGCCAGGCAUGUCAUGUCUCAACAUGUAAUGUUAUCAAAAAUUAAGCAAAGUGUUUCAUUUUCCCGGUGUCAAUUUUAACACUUAACAAUAUUUUUGGCAUGGCAAUUACUGUUUUCAUUCCAUUAGGCCUUCUGUGAGUGGGAAUGUUUUGUCUGCAAUCCUAAUAAUCGUACUUUUUAUGAGCAUAUGUAUUGCUUCAUUAAACCUGAUUGUUUAUAACUAAUAAUAAAACUUUUACCAAACCUACUAAACUCUAUAUUUACGCCAUAAGUGCUUGCUUUCCCCACCUCAAGAUAUGUCACGCAUAUGAAAUCAGUACUACCAUUUU